CGGACCGGCGCACGGGUGAGUAACGCGUAUGCAACUUACCUAUCAGAGGGGGAUAACCCGGCGAAAGUCGGACUAAUACCGCAUGAAGCAGGGGCCCCGCAUGGGGAUAUUUGCUAAAGAUUCAUCGCUGAUAGAUAGGCAUGCGUUCCAUUAGGCAGUUGGCGGGGUAACGGCCCACCAAACCGACGAUGGAUAGGGGUUCUGAGAGGAAGGUCCCCCACACUGGUACUGAGACACGGACCAGACUCCUACGGGAGGCAGCAG
This 264-nucleotide ribosomal RNA is filed under the name uncultured bacterium. RNAcentral describes it as "partial 16S ribosomal RNA". It matches the Rfam family "Bacterial small subunit ribosomal RNA", at positions 91 to 354 of the family's 1533-position model. The record is from RNAcentral.